AGAGUUUGAUCCUGGCUCAGGAUGAACGCUGGCGGCGUGCUUAACACAUGCAAGUCGAACGAUGAAGCCCGUGCUUGCACGGGUGGAUUAGUGGCGAACGGGUGAGUAUCACGUGAGUAACCUGCCCUUAACUCUGGGAUAAGCCUGGGAAACUGGGUCUAAUACCGGAUACGACCAGUCACCGCAUGGUGUGCUGGUGGAAAGCUUUUGCGGUUUUGGAUGGACUCGCGGCCUAUCAGCUAGACGGUGGGGUAAUGGCCUACCGUGGCGAUGACGGGUAGCCGGCCUGAGAGGGUGACCGGCCACACUGGGACUGAGACACGGCCCAGACUCCUACGGGAGGCAGCAGUGGGGAAUAUUGCACAAUGGGCGAAAGCCUGAUGCAGCGACGCCGCGUGCGGGAUGACGGCCUUCGGGUUGUAAACCGCUUUCAGCAGGGAAGAAGCGCAAGUGACGGUACCUGCAGAAGAAGCGCCGGCUAACUACGUGCCAGCAGCCGCGGUAAUACGUAGGGCGCGAGCGUUAUCCGGAAUUAUUGGGCGUAAAGAGCUUGUAGGCGGUUUGUCGCGUCUGCUGUGAAAGCCCGGGGCUUAACCCCGGGUGUGCAGUGGGUACGGGCAGACUAGAGUGCAGUAGGGGAGACUGGAAUUCCUGGUGUAGCGGUGAAAUGCGCAGAUAUCAGGAGGAACACCGAUGGCGAAGGCAGGUCUCUGGGCUGUUACUGACGCUGAGAAGCGAAAGCAUGGGGAGCGAACAGGAUUAGAUACCCUGGUAGUCCAUGCCGUAAACGUUGGGCACUAGGUGUGGGGGACAUUCCACGUUUUCCGCGCCGUAGCUAACGCAUUAAGUGCCCCGCCUGGGGAGUACGGCCGCAAGGCUAAAACUCAAAUGAAUUGACGG
RNAcentral lists this ribosomal RNA (900 nucleotides) under uncultured bacterium. Its description in RNAcentral is "bacterial SSU rRNA". It matches the Rfam family "Bacterial small subunit ribosomal RNA", at positions 8 to 916 of the family's 1533-position model. The record is from RNAcentral.